This 230-nucleotide ribosomal RNA is filed under the name uncultured fungus. Its description in RNAcentral is "partial 18S ribosomal RNA". It matches the Rfam family "Eukaryotic small subunit ribosomal RNA", at positions 40 to 274 of the family's 1831-position model. The record is from RNAcentral. Lineage: Eukaryota; Fungi.
AAGAUUAAGCCAUGCAUGUCUAAGUAUAAGCACUUUAUACCGUGAAACUGCGAAUGGCUCAUUAAAUCAGUUAUCGUUUAUUUGAUAGUACCUUGCUACAUGGAUACCUGUGGUAAUUCUAGAGCUAAUACAUGCUGAAAACCUCGACUUCGGAAGGGGUGUAUUUAUUAGAUAAAAACCAACGCCCUUCGGGGCUCCUUGGUGAUUCAUAAUAACUAAACGAAUCGCAU